Molecule: ribosomal RNA, 232 nt
Filed under: uncultured bacterium
Lineage: Bacteria
Description: partial 16S ribosomal RNA
Rfam family: Bacterial small subunit ribosomal RNA
Source: RNAcentral
CGGACGGGUGAGUAAUACAUCGGAACGUGUCCCGUAGUGGGGGAUAGCCCGCGAAGCCGGAUUAAUACCGCAUAUGCUCUACGGAGGAAAGUGGGGGACUCGCAAGGGCCUCACGCUAUGGGAGCGGCCGAUGUCCGAUUAGCUUGUUGGCGGGGUAAUGGCCCACCAAGGCUACGAUCGGUAGCUGGUCUGAGAGGACGACCAGCCACACUGGGACUGAGACACGGCCCAG